GAUGAACGCUAGCGGCAGGCCUAACACAUGCAAGUCGAGGGGCAGCACGGUGUAGCAAUACACUGGUGGCGACCGGCGCACGGGUGCGUAACGCGUAUGCAACCUACCCAUAACAGGGGGAUAACACUGAGAAAUUGGUACUAAUACCCCAUAACAUCAGGACCGGCAUCGGUUCUGGUUGAAAACUCCGGUGGUUAUGGAUGGGCAUGCGUUGUAUUAGCUGGUUGGUGAGGUAACGGCUCACCAAGGCAACGAUACAUAGGGGGACUGAGAGGUUAACCCCCCCACAUUGGUACUGAGACACGGACCAAACUCCUACGGGAGGCAGCAGUGAGGAAUAUUGGUCAAUGGACGCAAGUCUGAACCAGCCAUGCCGCGUGCAGGAAGACGGCUCUAUGAGUUGUAAACUGCUUUUGUACGAGAGUAAACGCUCUUACGUGUAAGAGCCUGAAAGUAUCGUACGAAUAAGGAUCGGCUAACUCCGUGCCAGCAGCCG
RNAcentral lists this ribosomal RNA (496 nucleotides) under uncultured bacterium. Its description in RNAcentral is "bacterial SSU rRNA". It matches the Rfam family "Bacterial small subunit ribosomal RNA", at positions 28 to 517 of the family's 1533-position model. The record is from RNAcentral.